UUACCAGCUCUUGACAUGCCUAUGAAUGUUAGUGGAGACACUUCCAGCCUUUCGGGGCGUAGGACACAGGUGCUGCAUGGCUGUCGUCAGCUCGUGUCGUGAGAUGUUGGGUUAAGUCCCGCAACGAGCGCAACCCUCGCCUUUAGUUGCCAUCAUUUAGUUGGGCACUCUAAAGGGACUGCCAGUGAUAAGCUGGAGGAAGGUGGGGAUGACGUCAAGUCCUCAUGGCCCUUACGGGCUGGGCUACACACGUGCUACAAUGGUGGUGACAGUGGGCAGCGAGAUCGCGAGGUCGAACUAAUCUCCAAAAACCAUCUCAGUUCGGAUUGCACUCUGCAACUCGAGUGCAUGAAGUUGGAAUCGCUAGUAAUCGCGGAUCAGAAUGCCGCGGUGAAUACGUUCCCGGGCCUUGUACACACCGCCCGUCACACCAUGGGAGUUGGUUUUACCCGAAGGCGCUGUGCUAACCGCAAGGAGGCAGGCGACCACGGUAGGGUCAGCGACUGGGGUG
Molecule: ribosomal RNA, 511 nt
Filed under: uncultured bacterium
Lineage: Bacteria
Description: bacterial SSU rRNA
Rfam family: Bacterial small subunit ribosomal RNA
Source: RNAcentral